GUUGUUGGUGUGGAGUAGGGGAAGCCCCUCUUGAACCUUCUUUUCCCAGGAAUAGAGUGUUUCUGUAGAAGGAGUGCUCCAGUUCAGGACCCCGAAGGCGUGUCCUUCUACCCAGAAGGACAACACCUGUGACAUAUGUGGUCUGGUCUUGAAAGACAUAUUACACUAGCUGAGCAUCAAGGAAUAUACCAUAGGCAGAAACCAUAAAAGUAUGAGGUGUGUGGGAGAGGGUUCUGGCUCAGUACAAACUCUCACCAGCACCAAAUGGAAGAGCACAGUGGAGAAAAACUCUUCACAUGCAGGGAACAUGUUAACGAUGUCCUGGACAGCCAUGACCUGCAGCAUCAGGCCACCCACAGCAUGGGGAAGCCACACUGGAGCACCAAGAACAAGGAGGCCUUCCAACAUAGCUCUGGCUGCCAGCAGCAGCAGGAAGUCCAUGCCACACAGAAGCCCUUCAAGUGCAGCAACUGAGGGAAAGCCUUUCUGAAGGCCUUCAUGCUCCUGGACCACCGAUAACAGACUCCAAAGAGAGACCUUUCAGAUGCCCCACAGGGGGAAACUUCUCUAAAUAGAACUUGACUGUUGUUGAUCAGCAAAAAAAAUCACACUGGAGAAACAUCCCAUGUCUGUAAGGAAUGUGGGAAGGCUUUCAGGCACCUUUUUAAACUGAGGACACAUCAGAAAGUUCAUACCAGGGGAUCCCUGGGUGGCGCAGCGGUUCAGCGCCUGCCUUUGGCCCAGGGCGCGAUCCUGGAGACCUGGGAUCGAAUCCCACAUCGGGCUCCCGGCGCAUGGAGCCUGCUUCUCCCUCUGCCUAUGUCUCUGCCUCUCUCUCUCCCUGUGACUAUCAUAAAUAAAUGAUAAAAAAAAAAAAAAAAAAAAAAAGAACAUACCAGACAAAUGCAUCACAGUUGCAGUAAAUGUGGGAAAACCUUCACCCAGAAACACUCACUUGUUCAGCACCAGAGUUCACACUAGAGAACAGCCUUAAUGAAUGUGGCCAGUGUGGGAAGGCCUUCACUCGCAGCUUCCAAGUUGUUCACCAUCAGGUUCACUCCUCGGAAAACUUGUGAAAGGAACCUUUGUGAAGAAGCCAUACGCCAAAAAUUGGAAAAUAUCCCAAUAUCCCUACCAGGAGAUGGCCAGAAACAUAGGAAGCUUUCAGGAGCUACAUCACAUUUUGUAAUCUCCCCAGUUGUCACUUCAACAAACGUAAAUGCAAGUCACAAGCUGGGAACUCUGUCUGCAAAACAAAUUCUGACAAGACUUGAAUCUAGAGGCACUGGGUGGCUCGGUUGAGCAUCUGCCUUCGGCUCAGGUCGUGAUCCUGGGUCUUGGGGUCGAGUCCCGCACCAGGCUCCCUCUCCCUCUGCCUCCCUCUCUCUGUCUCUUAUGAAUAAAUAAAUAAAAUCUUAAAAAGAGACUUGAAUC
Molecule: long non-coding RNA, 1434 nt
Filed under: Vulpes vulpes (red fox)
Lineage: Eukaryota; Metazoa; Chordata; Mammalia; Carnivora; Canidae
Description: lncRNA (ENSVVUG00000002313.1)
Source: RNAcentral